CGCGCUCUGCUCUGCAUUUCUUUGUUUUGCAUUUCUGCAGUGCAACUCAACCGACGCAAACUCUUGUCGGUUGCAGCUUACCCAUUCUGUUGUCUUCUUCUAAAGCUGGUCAGGAAUGAACACGGCCCAGAAUUCCUGUGUCUUCAAAGACUGUUGUAGCAUAGCACUGUAGUCUCGUUACUCUCAAGCCGCAUGGAAAAAAAAAAAAGAUGUUUUGUUUAGUCACCUUAACUUUUUAUAAAAUGCAUGUUGUAGUCAGAGAGAUUGUCAAGUGUAAGAGAUGCGACAUUUGAUAACUGUGAUGUGAACUUCCACAUAGAAAAGUGCUUUGAUGUGUGUUUGGCUAAUAUGGGUGGUAUGUUUCCUAAUUGUAUUGAGUCGCUAUUUAGAGCUUUCAUGUUUACAUUUUGCAUAUACUUAAUUGUGAGCACUUUCUUUCUGCAGUGGCUGAAUUCAUACUGCUAGAACUGUAAGUGAAGUUGGACUGAAAGCUUCUGCCGAUAGCAUUUUUGUGUGUUACUGCAUGUGCUUUUCUUCAUUGCUGACAGAUGACAUAUUUAUGCUCCAUGCAAUGUCUCUUCUUUGUGUGCACCAUUUAAAAAAUUUGCUUUCUAACAUUGCAGCUGCAAUGGUACAAAGUACAUCGAUGCCAGUGAAGCCAGAUGCAACCUGCUUAUUAGCUCUGUAUAUUUUUGUUCUUUUUGGAGUUGCUUUGCCUACUGAAUUCAUGUUAAUGUGCUCCUUGAUUGUAAAGCUCUAUCUUGCUGUUGAAAAAAAGCGUAUGGUUGGGGUAGCCAAAUGGUAAAAAAAAAAAUUUUCCCAUGACUAUUCAACAGGUCUCAUCAUUUGCAAAGCAGCAACAAAAAAGAAAGAAAAGCAGGCCUCAAGUUGUUCUGCAAAAAUAUUGUUUUGCAUUCGCCAACAAUAGCUUGUGCUUUUUUUUAUCAUUGCUCAUUGUGACACAAUCUGUUCCAUUCAUGCAGGUCGAACUGUGUUUACCAUUUGCUGUAAGCCUUCUAAAGGGCCCUAAUUGUGCAGCGCUCCUCCGGAGCAAUGCAGCAUUUUGUUUUCACAGCACCUUCUUUCGUACAAUCCACAGCGCACAUAGCACAGUAGACAUUGCUAGGAACAAGUUGCUGUAACUUGCAUUUCCAAUAGGCAACAGAAUUUCAUAAUCCUCAGUGAAGAAAGUGACUAUCUCUUAAAUAAUCUCUAAGCAGAACGGCACAUUAUUUUUUUAUCUCCUGAUAGUUACAGUAAUGACUAUCCGGAAAUAAGUUAAUGGGUAUGUAAAAAUCAAAGUUAAAAGAUAACACCACAUUGGACAAAGGCUCGGCUUUUUUUAUGUCUGCACGAAUGUUGUGCAAACGCAAUGUUUGUGACGGGAGUGUUAUAUCGCGUGCACAAUAUUACGCAGCUAGAAUCUUUUUAUGCACUUCUCUGUAGAUCAGCGCUCCAUUCAAUGCACACUCUAUCCACACUUUUUCACUUCUUGGUACCAGCUGCAAUUUUCCGUUGCUGACUUCACUUGUUGCCUCAGCACCUGCAAAGUGAUUGAAAGAGGGAAAGGAAGCUCAACUUUAAAGGGCACCUCACCAGGCCCUAUAGCAAAUUUUGGUUAUAUGCUGGAAGUUGUUAUGUGUCCUCUAGGAAGCGUUCUGCCACAAAAAUUUUUCAAGUCUGCUCAUUAAUAGCCGAGAUAGAAAUAUUUCACUGCCGCGAACCCAUGAUUUCAGCAGGCGGGCUCCACUGCAUAGCGAGACUCCCUCUCAGUAUCUCGCUAUGAAUUUUCUCAGUCUCAGAAUUUCAGAUCUUUCCGCGACGCUUAGCAAUGUAAUACUUUGCAGACACGAUCGUUAUCACGCAAUGUAUGCUCUGCGCUUGUCAGCUCAAAAUGGCCAGACCUGGUGAGGGGCCCUUUAAAGCAUAGCAAAUAUUUCCGCAGCCAUUUCUGCCAACAUCGACAGCAACAACAUGCAAAUUUCAUUGUGAGAGAACUGUAAUCAUUGUGCAAUACUCCAUUUCUGCUUCCUCUGGUUUAGCCUAAAACAUAUUUAUCCCACGUGCGCUCCAUGGCCAAGCAGCUGCUGUAAUCGCCAAGUUUUAUGAGAUGGUGGCUAAUCAUUAUGUGCAAACAGUAUUCAUGUCUGCAUGUACAGCAAUAGUGAUACCUUAGCUAAAAGCUUGAAAUUAUCCAUAUAUUGCAUGUGAAACUUUCUGAGCUUGCACAGUUUCGCCAGAACAGCUCAAGUUAUAUGUUCGGAAUAUCUACUCAUUUUUCUUUCAUGGUACAUGAACAUUGUGCAAGCAAAACAACUAAGCCUCUUCUGUUUCACAAACUGCACUGGCUUUGUUACUUGUGUUCUUUGAAUGAAAUUGAAAAUGAGUUUUAAGAAAUGUGCUUUUUGAUCAACAUUCUAUCAAUCCUAGAUCCCAUUAUUUUUGACGCUGCAGUAUAAUGUCCAGGACGAUACUAGUGCCAGUAUGUGUGAUUGCGUUUUACGGACUUGCAUAUGAACCAACACUGUUUGUCAUUGUAUGCGAAAUAUUGUAUCUUAUUCUUCUAUUGAGGUUGUGUCAUACAGAGGUUACUGCAGUGUUACUGUUGCCGAACAAUUGUCCAUUUUUGUCUUUUUGUCUCUGCUUGGCAAUUUUUACAGAAAGUAUUAUUAAAAGAAUUAAAUUAUGCGGCUUUACAUGCCAAAACCUUAAUCUGAUUAUCAGGCACGCCGUACUGGGGGACUCCGGAAAUCUCGACCCGCUGGGGUUCUUUAAUGUGCACAUAAAUCUAAGUACACGGGUGUUUUCGCAUUUCGCCCCCAUCGAAGUGCGGCCGUCGUGGCCGGGAUUCGAUCCCGCGACCUUGUGCUUAGCAGCCCUACACCAUAGCCACUAAGCAACCACGGCAGGCGCAAGAAAUGAUUGUUAGUUCAACUCAGUGCCUAAAUUUAGCAGGGUUUCUUCAGUAAUCUACUGUUUGUGCAGUUCCAAAAAUAACACACAAUGCCAAUUAGCCAUGGUGGCUUCCAGAUCACAUUUCAUGAAUCUUUAGUGAGUCAUCCAAAAUGGCUGCUUCAUUUGCAUACCAGCUAGCAAAGUACAUCUUUUCUCAUUCUAAAAGGACGCUGAAGAUAUGUGAUAAAGCACUUUAGACUGGUAGCGUGCUGCUUCCAAACAUUAUUUGCAUUUCUCUGCAAAAAUAACAAUUGACUAUCCUCAUUUCAAAAUUGGGUGCCAAAGUUGUCACACCCAUGAUGCCAUUACAUCAUCACAAAUUUCACAGCAUUUCUGAUCAUUCGAGCCAUUUUCGUGCAGCUAGGCAAACUUACCAAACAGGCAAACUGAUCCAUAGCUUACUUAACACAAUGUAAUCUUCCUUGAUUGAUGAACACUUAUAAUUCCCAUGCAGUUUUAAAUUCGUGACUAAGUGAGAGGGCAGCCAGUCUCAUGAGAUUGUCAAGGUGGCAGUGCCACCUGUCCAUAAUUUGGCACCCUUUGUAGCUUAUCAAGUUUUCACUUACGAUAAGAGCGAGCUGUUUGAAAUUCCGGGACGUGUAAUCUACCAAUCCAUAGCUUUCGUUAGCCUGUUAGUGUCCCGUUGUAACUUCAGUCAUGCAUGGUUCAGUCGCUGUGCAUUAACUGAUGACAUAAACUCUGUUUUGAUUCACAGGGUUGGUGCCGCGCGGUGGAGCAUCUGUCACAUUUUGCAGAGAUUCUCAAGAACAGGUAGAAGACGUCGAGAACUCUACCACAGCAGCACCUGGUGCAAGUGACAAGAGAGAGCCAGACAAUCGCAACAUUGCUUUCAUGCUUCAACUAGGUUUGACCAAAUUGCAGCCACCACAGCAGAUUCCGGCAGAUCACAUCAAGACUGAACACAAUAUGUCACCUCUUACCUCUGGAAAUGGCCCUGAUAUCCAGUUUGAAAACCCUUCUCCAGAAGAGCUGUCACUUUGCGAUGCCAUGUGCGACCCCAAGGCUGCAUCCUCCACUCUCCCAGCGGCAGUGUUUUGUAGUCUCCCGACAAAGCACAUGAAGCUAUGGUGCGCAGAGCCCUCAAACGUCAUUGUUGAGGAAGGAGCACCUGGCACUGGCAUUGUUGUUGAUUCUGCUGAGGACACAGAUCCACAGGUGAAGAAGCAUGACAAGACGAUUUCCAUGAUUAAGCAAAAGUUCCAUGACAGAAGUGGACAGUCCAAGCCCAAAAAACGAAGGUCUGCCUCCUUGGGCAUGCCCUUCAAGGUCAUCGCAACAUCAGAACAAACACCGCAAGACAUGUCGCAAGAAAGGAGGCUCCGUCGAACCUCAAGAGAGCAGAAAAAGAUGUUCCUGUGCCCACAAUGCCCAGAAACAUUUGUCUAUGAGGGCAAUUUGCUUGAUCACAUAAACAGACACACCAGGAAGAAAGUGUUCCAGUGCCUACACUGCAAGACGAAAUUUUCGAACAAGCGUAUCCUCACAACUCACAUCCAGAAUAUCCACCCCUAGUAUACCCUUCCCCACUGCCAUUCUUCUGUUCGAUGAAGAGAACUGUAGAAAACUAGUCUCGUGCAGGUGUUCUGUUUCCUUUCUUAUUUGUUUGUUUCUGCAGAAAAUUGAGCUGUUGAUAGUGCAAGAAGCGUUAUUGUUCCAGUGUAAGAGAGUACACUAGGUUCUAGACACAGGUCAAUAUUUCUCACAGCGAUUGAUGAUUACUGCUAUUUGUAGCGUGCAUGCCAGUCUUGUCGAGACAUUGCUGACAGCUUUAUGAACUGGCUUAAGUUACUCAGGAUAAAAGGAAAAACAAAUAGCACUACUGGACUCACAACCCAGGCUUUCAGGCAAAUGUAAUAGCUGUUAGACAUUGCAUUUUACAGUCAAACCACAGUGACCACAGCAUUUAAUAAUGUGAGUGGUCAUUUAUAAUGAGCCGGUGAGGUAGGCAUAAAGCCGUUUUUUUUUUAGAUUAGAUGUACCUGUGUGAUUGUUAAGUUUUGUGGUUGUAUCAAGGUCAUAAACCUCUGGUGUUAAUGUCGUUUUGCCAAAUAAGUGAAGCGUUUGGUCCUGAAUAUUCUGUAUGCAGCAUAACUUCAGUUAUAUAUAAUUGCAUACUUUGUUUGUUAAUUUAACUUUAUUGUUUAUCUCCUGUGUUAGAGUGUUCUUGUUACAGUGUGCUAGUCAGAAAAGUUGUGAGCGAGACAUAGCAGGAUGGAGCUUGCUGAGCAUAAUGGAGUCAUUGUAAGAGAAAGGCGGAUGUUUCACGUAUUCGAAUUUGCUCAAAAUUAUUUCAACUUUUGGCAAAAAAGGAGAGGACAUGGAAGGAUAGACAUGGUCAGAUUCGUGGUAAAGAGGUAAAACCAUGUUUCCUUUUCUCGUAAUACUCACUGUAUGCUCCACGUAUAUUUCAUGUCUAGCUCUUACUCUUCGUUACAGCUUUAUAUUUCUUUGUAACGUAGUUUUGUUACCAAAUUAGUGCAUUACAUGUUCAUCAUUGUGUUGACAAAGCUUGAUCAGCACCUGUAAUCUUCUAAAUUGCCCAUUUGCGGUGUAGUUUCUGCAGUUAAUAAAGUUUCAUGAGUAAAGUUACCAGCUGCACAUGACUGAUCUUUUGCUUAUAAAACCCCAGGAGAAACCAACAGUCUGCAAAACGUGACACAGAGACGUGACACUGCUGUCACUGUUUUGAUAUAAAAAGGAGAAAAGGCUGUAUUCAUUGCAUCAAUGAGCACAAGUGGGCUGGUGUCCAUAAUUAUUGCAGUUGUUGCAAACUUAGUUGUCAUUAGGUCUGUCAGAAUGAAAGUUGAACAGUGCUAGUGUAGAGAAAGUUACUAGUCUAAACUGCAGUUUAUGCCACUGUAUAUUAAGCUGGAUGUAGCGUUGCUGGUCCCAUAUUUGUUUGUAAGCCUGUUUCUACCGUGUUAGUUUUGUAACUUUGGCUAAGCUUUGCCUGUUAUGUGACAUCGUACUUUGGACUGUGACAAUCUUUACUAUAUAAUUGAGCUUGUGUUUAGUAAAGUGUCCGUACGUGACCAUUUGUAAAAGGGCCCCUCUCCCCAGGCCCAGUCAGAGAUUCUUGUUAUAUACUGGAAGUUGUAAGGCACUUUCUAGGGCGUGCUCCUACCACUAAAAUUGUAAAAAUAGAGUCGGUAUUAGCGAAGACAAGCAAAUGAAAUGUUAUACAAUCAUCGAAGGAGGUGAGCGACCCUCCACACAGCAGAACCCCUCUCUCACUGCCUCGACCAAUGCCUGCAAGCAACAUUCCCCCACUGCACUCUCUUGCAUUAGAACCGAGGGCCGACGCAAUAUUCAUAUCACCCCCCCCCCCCUUCAUUCCGCUGUUGCUGUGCAGCACGUUUCGACUGUCGCUUUUGUGCACCCCAUGUCUUACAGAAACCCCGAUGUUGCUCUUUGCUGUUUGUGCACUGCGCUCUGUGUGUGACGCAGAGGUGGUGCCAGGGGAGUUUUCUGUGCUGGCGAGUGGCUCCUUUGGGAUGAAUUGCUCAUGGGCUUUUGUUUGAAUAUUGAGCUGCUUUAAUGGCAAGCAUCAUUUUAAUGCAAGAGGAUUCCAGAUUGGGCAAGUGGAAAACGUUCGUGAUAAUCAGCACAGGAAAAGAUGAGAUCAAGAAUAGGAAAACACAGGUUAAGUGUUAUUUUCUUAUUCCUUAUCCCAUCUUUCGCCGCGCUGAUCAUAUUGAGUCAGUUUAACACUUUGCGUACCUGAUGGUCGCUUCAUGAUGCGCCCAGCGUGCUUGUCUUUUUGCAAUGCCAAAGCUGGUCAGGGGACCUUUAAGCUUUCCUCAAAGGUUAGAGAGACAUUAACAGUCAAGGGAACAAAAUGAAGCACAUUAUCAUGUCACGAGAGGAAGGCAAAGAGUGCAGCUGAAGUUCCAUAAUUAGAACUCCUAGGAACUGCUAAAUUUUGCAUGGAUCCUCCGGAGUUAAAUAAAGUAAGCUAGGAAGCAAUUACGGGUUAUAGGAGCAGGCUUGCUCAGAAAGUGGCAAGCAGGUGUAAAGACAGUAGAGUUAGGUUCUAUAGUGCAGAGAAAGAGAGUCAUCCUCAGAUCUGUCAGAGUCGAAUCUAUAUUUGGUGGCUUCCACUAUCCUACAUAGUUGCUUAAUCACCAAACAUGGGCAUGCUCUAUUAAUGCUUUGGGAACUUGCCUAAAUUGGCAGGUGCUGGUUGUCAUUCUUGGCUCUGAAAAAGCCAAAAUAAUUGAAUUGACCGAAGCCCUUACUUGAAUUGAGCAGCUUAAAAUAAAUUUGGAAGUAAAACAGUAGGCCAAGCAAGAAAUUGUUCCUUUUCUUUUGUGCUGUUUUCGUUCCUGUUGCCAUAUCCCAACAGCAAACUGUCCUGAAGAACUUUGAUUUGUUUGUAAUUCAGCAUUUGAACUACGAGUUUGGAUCGCCACUAGCUGACUGCUUUUAUCAAGAAGAUCACAAUAGAUGCAUUGUAUGUAGUAAGCAAAUGGUAUUUGGAAUUCAUGUAGCAAAGUCGUGCUCCAGCAGUGUCGUAUACCCUGUGCAUAGAAAAUUGAAUACAUAAAAUGGCUAUACCUGAAUGUGUUGCCUUCAGCACGUAACCAUUGAUCAAGCAAAGAAAAGCAGGUGUGACAUCAGCAAUUUGUGAAUGGGCAUGCUUCUGGUAGCAGGCACCUUGCCAGAUGAUGCUUCUCUCUCUCUCCUCCUUUAUUUUUAUAUGUAUUUGUGUGUGCGACUGUUUUGACCAACAUCACAAAACUGCAGUAAUAUUGACGGCAAUGUUGGUCAAGGCGAAAGGGGCGGCCAUACCAUGGCUUGACAUGCGCAAGUGAGCUUGCAGCCCUAUUCCACACAGUUCCAAAGAAACUUUGUUACACAAGUUUUGUUGAAACCGCUAAUGCCUGGAAACAUAUUUGCUUCUAAUUUGUCUUUCAGUAUCAUUGAAAGUGACGGUUGCCAAUGAAAUGUGCAGUCAGAAUCAGAGUCGGAGUAUGUUUCAGCUGUUCUCCCCCAAACCUGUUCCACACCCUAUCUCUUCAUCUUCUUGUACUAGAUACUGUAGUGCCCCUAAAGAUGCAUAACUUGUUGACAGUGAGGCAAUCUAUUGAGUACUGUAUCAAACAAAAGUAUUAUUAAAAAAUAAUGCAUAGAUUAUUGCCAUAUAUGUGCCUUAGUGUGCUAAUACCUUGGGGUGUCUCACAAUACAGGUUAUAUCAUGGCUAUGAACGUGCAAAAUACACUAGAUCCGAAAACCAGCGAAAUUAGUUCUGCCAGUCUUCAUAGGAUAUCUUGUGUGUUUUAUAAAAAACUUCAUAUUUAUCACGGUAUCCAAGAAUUACAUUUCUUAAUAAGCUGUUAACCAUUAACACUAAGCCUUAAAUAUUGUGCACAGAUAAAUUGGCAAGUUCCAACUAUAUAGUACAUUUUGAGAGCUCCCCUGUGUUGCAAUGCACAUUGAUCUCCAGAGAUGGUUUUUAACUGCCCCAUUUGUAUUGGCUGCUAGUGACACAGGAAUGCUAGUUUUCCUGCAGAAAUAACACCUGUGCCUCUCUUCUUUAACAUUCUGCUACAUAGUUGUUAACACAUCUCGAUGCCAGUAAGCGUAGACUAUCACCACUUUUCAAUUGAGGGGGUCACUGUCAAUAGUGCUGCUUGAUGGCUCCUACAAAAAGGAGUUGAUUGUGAAGCAGCCAUCCACACAAGUACAUUAGAGGUGAUGGUGAAAAUGUCUGAUAACAAAAAUGCUGCUCAGAAACUACCAUGGAACACUUUAAUUGCAGCGAUGACUUCAGCUGGAAGAGAAGUGCUGUCCAUUCCCCAAUGUUCUGGUGAUUCAUCGAUCAGAGGAAUCUUUGAGAAUUUCUAAGCUAAUCGGCUCUCACGUCUGGGCUGGGUUUGCACCUUCAGUACUGCAGGCAGAUGAACAAGAAAGUCCAAUGCCUGCUGUACUAUAAAGUUGUGUACGUCUUUCACUCUGAGCAAGAAGCACCAAUGCAUGUGCAAACAGGCAUUUGGCUGAUUGCACGCUGAGUGGCAUAAAUGGUGGCUUCUUCGCAGCAUGGCCAUCAUCCCUCGUCAUAACGCCUGUGCCAGACAGUGCUGCCGAGCGCCGACCUGUUGUACCGGUCCCACCUCAAGUUACAGCCACAAGCAUCACACCUCAUGGGAUAGUAUGCGCACCCUUCGACACGGCGAUUCUUCACAGGGGCAUCGACAUCAUAGGCCCUUGUGCGCCCAGUAUCAGCAAGUGCGAGUUUUCAGCGCAGGGCAACAGUGCUAGAGCUGCAGACUUUGCUGCUACCGGCGAGCCCAUCAUUCAGCAGCUGGGCGAAGGAGGUGCCAGCAGUGACCAGGACAUGACUGCAUCGCAGUCCCAGAGGACACCCAAGCCCUUUGCCUGUCACGUCUGCCCCAUGAGUUUCGGUUUCCACUCACAGCUUCAGGUACACCUGCGGUCACACACCAAGGAGACACCGUACCGAUGUCCCCACUGCUUCAAGGGCUUCUCACAGAAGGGCAACUACAACCGACACAUGCGAAUCCACAUGUGAGCAGGAGAGCAGCGUAUCAAAGCAACACAGACAUUUAAGGUCAAGCUUGCUCUUUCCCCACAUUGCACAGAGUGCAAUAAUGUGAAGCACCUCACCUAGUCUUGCCGGUGCUUCCGUGCCAAAAGAAUGAAGUUGCUUGACAACAUACUUGAAUAAAAGAGCUUCCGCAUGUGUCUGAACAGAAGGUAGCUUCAGACCUUCUGCUGAGAUUUCUGAAAGCAACUGAAGUGAUAGACACUCGCCUAGGUGCCCUGGAAUAAGAACCUCAGACCAAGACUACCAGGCAUAUCUGUGCCUGAAGCAACAGAAUCAUCAUCACCACCACCACUAUGUUGGUCACCUAGGGUGUGUCAAAAUGUCUGUACAUUCUGGACAGGCUCCACAAGACUGUACAGUGACAAGUGAUGUCAAGCGGUGUGCUCAAGUAACUGCAGGCAUAUGUCAUAUGUGCGUCGGGCAUUCCUUUUUGGACAUUGUAGAUAUCCGUGGGGCAUUGCUGGAUGUCUAAGGCUCGUAGAAUGUUCAGCAUUAACUGUGUUGUAUACCUGCGGACAUUGUUAUUGCAGGUGAAUGUGUGAUCUUUUGAGAUUGUAUGAAAAGGGGAGAAAUUUGAUUUUUUUUUUAAGAAAAAAGAAGCACUACUUCACCUUCCACAGGCUCUCAUUAUGCUUUUGCAUGUUCAUAUAGCUGUAAGAAUCAUGUGUUAUCAUACGCCAAAGAGACUGCUACGAUUCUCUUCUGUUUGGAGGGUUCGAACCAGAAAAACGGCUACAACUACCUUGUGUAGGUCCACAUAUAAGAGGAAGGCAGCGUGUGACUAACUAAACUCUAGUACAGCAGCCGUGCCAAGAUAUUGCUGCUUUCCUGAACUCAUUCUGCAAGAAUGUGUGGAGUGACUAUUUGUGUAAAUAACACCCAGUGAAUUGUUUGGACUAUGACAACUAGUUGCAUAAAUAUUCAAGCUUUACGCUCAGAUUGUCGAGUACCAUGUGUUUGUCUCCAUCUCCUUCUCUUUCUUCUAGAGUGUGCAUGUAUGUUUGUGCCAGUAAGAAUAAGUUGGGGUGUUGUUCUCCGUGCUAUAGUGGUUUCAUAUUUUGCACAAAUGUAUAGUUUGGUCUUUCGUCGCUUAGACAGACAGAAAUCUGAACAAGUUGGUGUAAAUUCAUGGGUAUGAAAUGGCAUGCAUACAAAAUGUGGACAGAUAAAGUAGAAACAGCCAACAUUUUGUGUUGUUUCUCUUUUGUUCAUGCUUUGUACGCCUGCCUUUUCAUUUCUUUAUUUUUAUAACUGCGCACUUAAAAGUGUGCUUAUAGUUGUUCAUGUUUUUUCUGGAAACAAGCUAUAACCCAAAAGUGUUUGCUGUUUCUCUCCUUCUCUUCCUUUUUGUGGGUCUGUUCUUAUUGGGUCUAACCACUACAUUUACUUGUGUGCACAGUUGGAAACAGCCAUCCCUAGGCAUCUUGUCAUGUGGUCCUUCACAUAUGCAUAGAACAUUGGCAAACUAGCUCUCCUGAAAUUCACUAGGUGAAGAAAAUUUCGCAUCAGUGAAAAACUCAUCCACAUGACAGUAGCGUGAAGCUACAAGGGAAACCCACACGGGUUUCACCAUAAACUUCGCAGUUGAAGAAAGAAUUCGUCCUGGUCUGGAGAGAGAGCUCCGGACCAACACCUUUGCAGGGGGAUCAUUUCACCGUCUGAGGUAACCACACAGAGCAAGGUUGAAUUAAUCGACAACUCAACAUGCAGGGACACUAAAUAUGAUGAACCAGUUCUGCAUUGAUCUGAAGGUGGAAGAAGCUUCUUAAAGAGAAAAAUUGUCAUACACCCAAAAGUUAGCACAAUGCUACAAAGACGUGUGCUUUUCACAUAGAUUUGUGUUCCAGUGGAUGGUGCAUUAGAUAGACGGCAGCUUCCCUGUUCCCAUGAAACCUCGUGGCGAUAUUUAAAUGCCAAACCACAUGGCAGUGGGGAAGGUCAGCAAUGACCUGAAAUGUUUGGCUUUCUUUUUCCUAGAGAGCUCGCAGGAUGCAAACAGAUACUAAGCAGGCAUUUUGGACAGAAUCAAUAACUAGUAAGUGCUUAUUACCGAACUACCUGUGCAUGUCGCUUAAGUUAAACAAAGAGCCUUGGUUGUUGCUGUUUUAUGUAGUAUUAUUCAUACUUCUUUUGGGGGGGGGGCAUGUUCUGCGGACUCUUGUAACAGCUUCACCAUCCUUCCCACCCCCCAUACCUCAAUAUUUGGUCACAAAAGGCAACUGGUGUUUGUUCACAAAGUCAAACUUCCAUGUAAAAUAGGUCAAAGCAGAUAACACCUAGGAACAUGCAUGCUCGCUUAUGGCUCCACGUGGCUAAGCUGCACUUGUUAGUUUCUUCAAAAGUAGGUGUCUGUUUCAGAUCCUGAGGUUAAAGCUGUGGCAUGCAGUGAGUGCAAACUAAAUAUACUCCUGGAAUAUUUUUAAGGAUUCUCUUUUUUCAGGGUGGCUAUUACACAAGUUUAUACUGUACUUGCAGGGCUUGGAAAAAGCUUGCCUUUGUGUAUUAUCCUUUGGUAUCUUAUAUCAGGUGCCCUUUUUUAGUUGCACCAGAUUUUUACAAAUCGCCUACGGCAAAUAGCACAAUUCUAACUCUUGAACUAAAUUUUUACAGCAGAGCUGUAUAUGUCUACCCUCCCAUACAUUCUUCAAUGUCCAUGCCUCAAAGCUCCCGCACCCUCUAUGAGGAGGCAAAGUAAGGCAUGUGCUGACACCUGGUGUAGCAAAAGGAAUGCUAAGAAACCACUCAAUAUGUGGUUUCAUACAAUGAUUACUAGAGGGAACUCUGAUGGGAGCUGCAAUUGUGGUGGUUCAGCCAGCAAGCAAAUUAUGGGGAGUACAUGGAUUUGCCUAAACUUCGUCCUUCUGACUUUAAACGUCUCUUCGACUUUGUAAAUUCGUCAUCUUCAGCAAAUUACUGUGUAAUGAAUAAUCAAAGAAACAUAAUUAAAAUCAUCCGCCAGCAGGAUUCAAGCAUAGGACCUACAACAGAGAAGCCUGACAUUGAAACCAUUACGCCAUGGAUGCAUGCAUUGACAAGCAGGAUAGGUCGCCCUUAUGAAUUUCUUGCAGGCAAGUCAGCGUCUUAGAUGCUUGAUGCACUUCAAUUUGCACACCUCGACAGGUUGAGCCACUAGUAGUAGCGAUUGUGCAUGUUCGCAGGGUAUUCUUCAGACACGGAAGGGAAAGGCCCCAAAAUACGUGAACUUUUACGCUUAGUGGUGUGCUUUGUCUUUCUUGCAGCUCCGCUGGUAGCCCACAUUCACAGAAUGUAAUGGCUGCGAAUGUUUUAAAUGAGGUGGACCGAGCUUCUACAAAAAAUCAAAAUGCAUAAUCAACAAAUUAACAUAAAGUUACUAAUUAACAUUUUAAGUAACUACUUUACAGCACAUAUUGCACUUUAUUAAUUGUAACUGGUGAUUUUGCCAGAAGUAUCCAAAAGUAUCCACUUGAAAUUAAUUUUCAGGAUGACACGAGUUUUGGGAUAUUUAUUUUCACUGUGUCCGACGAAAUGAAUUGGCGUGUGCAGUUACCUCUGUGCUCCAAUGCAUAGCGCAGGAUUUUCUUUAGAAAGUAAGUGGAACAACUGCAUUUUUACUGCAAGUUUGAUGGCACGUAUGAUGAAAACAGUGCCAUCCUCAGAAUUCGUUCAAGUCUAUAUGCUUUGCAAAUUUGCUUGCUGCAGCUUGUAAAUUGCAAUAUGUGCUGUAAGUUGAUUAGUACAAAACUUAAGUAAAAUUUCCUUAAUUAGUCAAUCACACAUUGAAUUGCUCUUCAAAGUAAUGUCCACCUCAUCAAGUAAUUUAGUUCAAGGGUUAGAAUUGUGUUAUCUGCCAUAGGUAAUUUUCACAAAUUUGGUGCAGCCAAAAAAAAAAUUGCCUGAUAUACACACAAGUAGUGAUUUAUUAGUUCUGUGGCGGGUCCUAUUUUAUUGCUUGCCGCUGACACCAGAAAGAUGUUAGGUUAACAUAACUGGUUAUAACCUAGCUUUCUUGCCAUUAUUUAUGGCAAAGCUUGGCGGUGGGUGUCGCGUGAUUAUACAUCUUGGCAUCGCGGAGAUGUAGAUCUUAUAAUACCUCUCAAGUAGCACUUUCUAGGCCUAGUAGUUUGUGUAGAUGCUUUCAUGAGCAAGUCUCCUGCCACCAUUUGCAGCGAGUGUAGCUUGGAAGCCAGGUUACAGGCUAGAAGAGGUGCUUGCUAAUGCAUUCAACAAGGCGUUCCAAACAACAUUAAAAGAAAACAAAGCCUUCUUUGCAAAUGGAACCAUUUGUAUUCUAUUAGCAGACACCUGAACAAUCUACAAGUGUAUUUUUUAUUCUGCCUGAUUACUAGUCAGUAAUGCUAUUAACGACCACCUAUUAAUUUUAUAAUCACUACAUAUGGGGUGAUCACCUUUAAGUUUUCUGGAAUUUGUAAAUAUCGCCUGUCAUAGCUAGAUAACAUAGUUCUAGUCCUUGAGCUGGAUUAUACAGAGAAGUCGACAUAACUUUAAUGAGAAAUCGAAACAUAUAUUCAACUAAUUUUAAAAAAAUUAUUAGUUACAUUGCAGCACAUUCUGCACUUUACAAAUUGCAGCCAGUGAGUUUACAAGGUGUAGCCAUUUGGAAUGGAUUUCCAGGAUGACAUCAGUUUUGGAGAUAUACGCCAUCAAACUUGGCGUAAAAAUGCACUGUUUCACUUUUUUAUCAAAACGCUCUUUUAUCCAUUGAAGCACAAAAAUAACUGGAACACCCAUCUAUUUUAUCCCACCUUUUGGGAAAUAAUAUCUCAAAACUGAUGUCAUCCUGGACACUCAUUUUAAGUAGAUACGUCUUGCAAAUUUACUGGCUACAACUCAUAAAUUACAAUAUGUGUCGUGAAGUAAUUAGUUAGGUUGAUUAUGAAUUCUUGUUGAUUGGUUGAAUAUGUGUUUUGAUUUCUCAUGCUCAUAAUGUCUGCCUCUUCGAAUAAUCCAGCUCAAGGGCAAGGAUUAUGCUGUCUGCCUCAGGCAAUCUUUUUUAAAUUCCAGAAAAUUUCUGCUGUAUAGUGCCAUUUUUUAGUGCUCGUUGGAAAACAGCCGUGGUAUUUGUUUGUGGAAUGAUCUCGUUUGACUUUUUUACUGUGACAGCAGUUAAAGGCUCGAAACUGGGCUUACUGUGUCUGUCCGUCCUUACCAUUACACUGUUCUAACCUUAGCACCAGCACCAUUGUAAAUUCGUCGUCAUCAGGCCACUUCCUUUCUCAUACUCAGCUUCGCCCUCACCACAUGGCAAAGAAAAACAACACUUUGCCCAUCGCCACACCACUUGCUCAUGUCUCUGCAGCAAUGUGCAGUUAGGAGCCCAAAACAUGGCGGCGGUGACAUGUUUCCAGCAUUUGCAAUCGCCUCCAGCACAUCUAACCUGCAUAAGUGUAGCCUUUCAGAUUGGUUUCUGUUACUUAGAGCCGUCGCUGGGGGGUAAAUUUGGACAGCACCUAUUGUGCAGCUUUUGUACUGGGCAACGGAGGGUGCGCAAAAUACUAGAAGUAGGCUUGCCCAGAAUGUCAACUUUCCUUAGCCUAACCUAACCUCCCACUCACUGAGCCGAGGGUAGGCUUCCAUCACGUGAGAGUCAAAGAAGGUGCACGGCGAAGCACACUUGCAAAAUUUCAUGUGAUGCCUGAUUGUUGCUGAGAUUUGUGCACCAUGCAGACUGGGAGCGGCAGCGCGGUGUCUGUGCAUAUUUCAGAGGCCACAAAAUAUAAUACUGUAGCAGACAAAGAUUAUAUAUGCAUCGCAGACAAGUCGUUCUUGACAAGAGAGAGAAAUUAGAAAAGGCAGGAUUAACCAGCAUUAUCAAUCAUAAAAGCACGGGUAACAUUUUGCAAAGCAUCUGUCAUGUAAUUUCUAUGAAGCCAUAUUUUAGUUACGAUUUGGAUCACUAACAAGAAAUGGAGUCGAUAUUGGAAUGUAUUUGAGGCUUCAACUUUCCUUAACACACACUGCCGUCACUAUCUUUUUUUCCAGCAUGCAAUAUAGCAUUCCAAGUUAACUGCGGGGAGCUAGUGACAUUUCUUGGAACAUGACCCAGCAGAUUAAUAUGCUGUGUGCUUUCAGUUGUUAUGGUUCCAUGAUGUACUUCUUUUUUUCUUGCACACUUUCUUUAAAAGCACACUAAGUGCAAAUAUUGAGUCAAGGUGAAAUAAUAGUUCUGUGUUGCCACAUCUCCAAGGCACCAGUUUUCUUUCCUUCUUAGAACACACCCUUUAAAUGUUGCAAAUUUACUUAAAGAUGGGAUACUAUGGGAAAAUAUGGCGCCAGCUUCCCUGAAAUUGCAUGUCUAGUUCAUAAUUUGUAAGUCCCAGUCAACUGAUAGUAAAACAAAAUGUUGCAUGUCAACCCAAGAAAAAUAAAAUUUUACUUUGACAAUUUUAUCUGAUUUUCGUGCAAACGAAUUCAUGGGUGCUACCUUUUCACACCACUGUCUCCGCACUAUUUCUCAGGGACCUUACUAUUUCUAGGAGUGCGGCACCCUCUGCAGGCUUCAAAGCAAACAGCCACUCCCAGAAGGGCACAACUUCCAAGGUCAACGUACUGGCUACACAAGGGACGCUAUUCAACAUGGGCAGUUCGAAUUGCAAAAAUAUAUGACACAGCCCUUUCAGCCACAUCUCUGAAAAGUCAUCUCUUGGCAUAAAACAAACAUUGCGAGGUUUAUAGAAAGUUCAUCUAACGUUAUUAAUUUACUCAACAGUAGUCUCUAGUGACUAUUUAAAAAAACAUGUGCCCAAUUUGUUGCCAAGUCGACGAGUCCCUGGCAGCUAAAAGUGUAAGAUGCACUGUUCUUUAUUGUUCAGUGAACCUGGCUGGCUGCUUGAUUUCCACUUAUUCGGAGGGCUUGCAUACAUAAAUUGUGCUUUUUUUUUUUUACCAGUGCUGGACAAGGAGGCAUUGUAUGUGAUAACUUGAGAUCUAUCUUAAUAGCUAACAUUCCAUUUCCAUUGCAUCUAUUCCACUUCAUAAAGUGUAUGGUGUACGUGUUAUGGGGCCUGACUGAAGGGUUAUGUGUAUGUGUGUAUAUAUAUAUGUAUAUAUGGCUGGUCAGUAUUUUAACUAAAGGGCAAAAUGGUGCCACCCUG
Non-coding RNA from Dermacentor albipictus, 16639 nucleotides. Lineage: Eukaryota; Metazoa; Arthropoda; Arachnida; Ixodida; Ixodidae. The record is from RefSeq and is a predicted model, not a curated record.